AGUUCUUGCUUCCAAGUUCCUGCCUGGAGCUCCUCCUCUGGUUUGCCUCUCGGAUGGACUAUAACCUGUAUUGCAAUGGUGACUUGGAGGUCUAACAACGUGACCAGCUAAACAGAUGCUAUUUUACAAUGAUAAGUGUAGCUACCACCCCUCAUCAAAGAAGCCUUGUCUUAAUAUCACAACUGGACACAAUGCAGAGAUGGAUGGAAUGUGGGGAGCCCAGCACUGAUGGCUACAUCCACAUCAUAGCUCCUGUAUCUAUAUGGCUCAUAGGUCAUCAAAGAAGAGGGGGCAGAAAGACUAUAAGAGUACAGAAGUCUAGUGUGAAGCAGUCUCUUCUAGAAAUGACUGUAGAAAGAAGACCAAAACAAUGAAAUAUCAAGGGACAUUGCGGUGGUUUGAAUAUGCUUGGCCCAUGGGAAGUGGCAUUAUUAAGAGGUGUGGCCUUGUUGAAA
Long non-coding RNA from Mus musculus (house mouse), 455 nucleotides. RefSeq annotates it as predicted gene, 31892. The transcript is spliced from 3 exons. The record is from RefSeq and is a predicted model, not a curated record. Lineage: Eukaryota; Metazoa; Chordata; Mammalia; Rodentia; Muridae.